GACGAGCGCUGGCGGCGUGCUUAACACAUGCAAGUCGAACGGAAAGGCCCUGCUUUUGUGGGGUGCUCGAGUGGCGAACGGGUGAGUAACACGUGAGUAACCUGCCCUUGACUUUGGGAUAACUUCAGGAAACUGGGGCUAAUACCGGAUAGGAGCUCCUGCUGCAUGGUGGGGGUUGGAAAGUUUCGGCGGUUGGGGAUGGACUCGCGGCUUAUCAGCUUGUUGGUGGGGUAGUGGCUUACCAAGGCUUUGACGGGUAGCCGGCCUGAGAGGGUGACCGGCCAAAUGGGGACGGGGAUCCGGCCCAGGCCCCCAGGGGGGGCAGCGGGGGGGAAUAUUGCACAAGGGGGGGAAGCCUAAUGAAGCAACGCCGGGGGGGGGAGGACGGCCUUCGGGUUGAAAACCGCUUUCGCCUGUGACGAAGCGGGAGUGGCGGUAAUGGGUAAAGAAGCACCGGCUAACUACGU
RNAcentral lists this ribosomal RNA (467 nucleotides) under uncultured bacterium. RNAcentral's name for it is "partial 16S ribosomal RNA". It matches the Rfam family "Bacterial small subunit ribosomal RNA", at positions 28 to 506 of the family's 1533-position model. The record is from RNAcentral.